UGAUGAUGCAGAAGUACGGGAAGCUGCUCUUCGUGGCCUUCUCGAACUUGCCAAGGACAAGAAAGGUGAGAAUGGUGGAGGGUUAGGUGAAGAUGAUGACAAGUUAAAGCAGGUUCUUGAGGAACGGAUAAAGGGAAUCAGUUUAUUGUCACCUGAAGAUCUUGGGGCAGCUAGGGAAGAAAGGCAGCUUGUUGAUUCACUCUGGAACACCUGCUACAAAGAACCAUCAUCUCUCCGUGAAAAGGGCCUUCUUGUUCUUCCUGGAGAAGACGCACCACCUCCUGAUGUUGCUAGUAAGCAUUUUGAACCUCCUCUGAGA
Molecule: unclassified non-coding RNA, 319 nt
Filed under: Hevea brasiliensis (rubber tree)
Lineage: Eukaryota; Viridiplantae; Streptophyta; Magnoliopsida; Malpighiales; Euphorbiaceae
Source: RNAcentral